This 588-nucleotide long non-coding RNA is filed under the name Dermacentor andersoni. Its description in RNAcentral is "uncharacterized LOC126522163". Lineage: Eukaryota; Metazoa; Arthropoda; Arachnida; Ixodida; Ixodidae. The record is from RNAcentral.
CUUGCGCGCGCAUACAUGCCGGUUUGUAUGGGCCGGCGUGCUUGCGUGUGUCUAGUGCGUACGUGUUUUGUGAGCGUGUUUGUGUGGGUCACUGUGUGUGCGUGCACGUCUUAGCGUGUCUGCCUGCAUGUAUGUGUGCUUGCUUGUGUUUAUCAAUGUGCGCGUGCGUGCUUUUGUGUCUGCGCUUUGAGAGUGCGUAUAUUUGUGUGCGUGCGUAUGUAUUGCAUAAGGCCGGUAGAGUUUUACUCGCAAUAAAACUCUUCCAAUUUGGUGCAGCGAGUGUUGCCGCCUGAAAGCCGAGUUUGGUUUCAAGCCAACCUGGACAACUGCUGUAUGAGGCGCUGUUUCUCAGGAGGAUCAGUGGGAAGGCGUCAGGUCAUGCAGAUGAUAGCAUCAAUUUCACAAUGCCCAGCCUUGGUGCCCUCCAUCAAGAGCAAGCCACUUGCGUUCGCCUUCAGGCAGAUGGUUGAUGUCUUCUAGGAAGCAGUUGGGAAGACUACAUUGAUGCAAGAUUCCAGCAAUGCCAUGCGCUGCAUUUAUUGGUCAAGGUGCUCAGAGAAUGGAGUCCCUGCACCUCGUGGUGAAACG